RNAcentral lists this ribosomal RNA (460 nucleotides) under uncultured bacterium. Its description in RNAcentral is "partial 16S ribosomal RNA". It matches the Rfam family "Bacterial small subunit ribosomal RNA", at positions 338 to 795 of the family's 1533-position model. The record is from RNAcentral.
CCUACGGGUGGCUGCAGUGAGGAAUAUUGGACAAUGGACGAGAGUCUGAACCAGCCAAGUAGCGUGAAGGAUGACUGCCCUAUGGGUUGUAAACUUCUUUUAUAAAGGAGUAAAACGAGACACUAGUGCCUUUUUGCAUGUACUUUAUGAAUAAGGAACGGCUAACUCCGUGCCAGCAGCCGCGGUAAUACGGAGGAUCCGCGCGUUAUCCGGAUUUAUUGGGUGUAAAGGGAGCGUAGAUGGUUUGUUAAGUCAGGUGUGAAAGGUUGCGGCUCAACCGUAAAAUUGCAAUUGAGACUGGCAGUCUUGAGUACAGUUGAGGUAGGCGGAAUUCGUGGUGUAGCGGUGAAAUGCGUAGAUAUCACGAAGAACCCCGAUUGCGAAGGCAGCUUACUAAACUGUGACUGACAUUGAGGCUCGAAAGCGUGGGUAUCAAACAGGAUUAGAUACCCCAGUAGUC